RNAcentral lists this long non-coding RNA (419 nucleotides) under Struthio camelus australis. Its description in RNAcentral is "lncRNA (ENSSCUG00000018711.1)". The record is from RNAcentral. Lineage: Eukaryota; Metazoa; Chordata; Aves; Struthioniformes; Struthionidae.
AUUUUCAGUGUGAUAUAGAAUGCUUGUUCAGGAGGUUUUACAAAUAUAAACGGGAGCAAGGUGCCUUUUUCACUCUGAUAACUAUAGCAGGCACAUGACUUUGAGAGAAAAGUGCUGGUCCUGUGGGUGGUUCCCGCCUCCCCCCCCCCUUUAUACAGUGAACUGGAAACUUCUUAUUAGCCAUGCUGACACUUUCAACUCUGCCAUUUUCCUUUGCAGAUAUCCUAACUCUUGGAUAUGUGGCAAAUACAGGCUCAGACUUCCUGACCUGUAAAAACUCAACUGAUUGUGAAUAUCCUGUCUUCUGCAAAUGUAAUUGCUGUCUGACAUUCUGUAAUGUGCACAAAGUUGGCGUUAUGGACUGCAUUAUGUGUCAUUACAAUGGCAUCCACUUAAACAAUUACUGUCAAACCAUGUAA